This 460-nucleotide ribosomal RNA is filed under the name uncultured bacterium. Its description in RNAcentral is "partial 16S ribosomal RNA". It matches the Rfam family "Bacterial small subunit ribosomal RNA", at positions 338 to 795 of the family's 1533-position model. The record is from RNAcentral.
CCUACGGGAGGCAGCAGUGAGGAAUAUUGGUCAAUGGACGCGAGUCUGAACCAGCCAAGUCGCGUGAGGGAUGACGGCCCUAUGGGUUGUAAACUUCUUUUAUGAGGGAAUAAAACGAGGCACGUGUGCCUUUUUGCAUGUACUUUAUGAAUAAGGAUCGGCUAACUCCGUGCCAGCAGCCGCGGUAAUACGGAGGAUCCGAGCGUUAUCCGGAUUUAUUGGGUUUAAAGGGUGCGUAGGUGGGUUGUUAAGUCAGUUGUGAAAGUAUGUGGCUUAACCUUAAAAUUGCAAUUGAGACUGGCAGGCUUGAGUGUGUUAGAGGUAGGCGGAAUGCGUGGUGUAGCGGUGAAAUGCUUAGAUAUCACGAAGAACCCCGAUUGCGAAGGCAGCUUACUAAGCCGUGACUGACGUUGAUGCACGAAAGCGUGGGGAUCAAACAGGAUUAGAUACCCCAGUAGUC